UACGUAGGGCGCAAGCGUUGUCCGGAAUUAUUGGGCGUAAAGAGCUCGUAGGCGGUCUGUCGCGUCUGCUGUGAAAUCCCGAGGCUCAACCUCGGGCUUGCAGUGGGUACGGGCAGACUAGAGUGCGGUAGGGGAGAACGGAAUUCCUGGUGUAGCGGUGGAAUGCGCAGAUAUCAGGAGGAACACCGAUGGCGAAGGCAGUUCUCUGGCCGUAACUGACGCUGAGGAGCGAAAGCGUGGGGAGCGACAGGAUUAGAU
Molecule: ribosomal RNA, 258 nt
Filed under: uncultured Actinomycetales bacterium
Lineage: Bacteria; Bacillati; Actinomycetota; Actinomycetes; Actinomycetales
Description: partial 16S ribosomal RNA
Rfam family: Bacterial small subunit ribosomal RNA
Source: RNAcentral